RNAcentral lists this ribosomal RNA (624 nucleotides) under uncultured Bacteroidales bacterium. RNAcentral describes it as "bacterial SSU rRNA". It matches the Rfam family "Bacterial small subunit ribosomal RNA", at positions 77 to 699 of the family's 1533-position model. The record is from RNAcentral. Lineage: Bacteria; Pseudomonadati; Bacteroidota; Bacteroidia; Bacteroidales.
GCUAAGGCUGAUGGCGACCGGCGCACGGGUGAGUAACACGUAUCCAACCUGCCGUCUACUCUUGGCCAGCCUUCUGAAAGGAAGAUUAAUCCAGGAUGGCAUCAUGAGUUCACAUGUCCGCAUGAUUAAAGGUAUUUUCCGGUAGACGAUGGGGAUGCGUCCAUUAGAUAGCAGGCGGGGUAACGGCCCACCUAGUCAACGAUGGAUAGGGGUUCUGAGAGGAAGGUCCCCCACAUUGGAACUGAGACACGGUCCAAACUCCUACGGGAGGCAGCAGUGAGGAAUAUUGGUCAAUGGGCGAUGGCCUGAACCAGCCAAGUAGCGUGAAGGAUGACUGCCCUAUGGGUUGUAAACUUCUUUUAUAAAGGAAUAAAGUCGGGUAUGCAUACCCGUUUGCAUGUACUUUAUGAAUAAGGAUCGGCUAACUCCGUGCCAGCAGCCGCGGUAAUACGGAGGAUCCGAGCGUUAUCCGGAUUUAUUGGGUUUAAAGGGAGCGUAGAUGGAUGUUUAAGUCAGUUGUGAAAGUUUGCGGCUCAACCGUAAAAUUGCAGUUGAUACUGGAUGUCUUGAGUGCAGUUGAGGUAGGCGGAAUUCGUGGUGUAGCGGUGAAAUGCUUAGAUAUCA